Molecule: long non-coding RNA, 980 nt
Organism: Oncorhynchus tshawytscha (Chinook salmon)
Lineage: Eukaryota; Metazoa; Chordata; Actinopteri; Salmoniformes; Salmonidae
Source: Ensembl
GCGCUAGGCGCUAGGUGGUGAGCGCUAGGCGCUAGGUGGUGAGCGCUAGGCGCUAGGUGGUGAGCGCUAGGCGCUAGGUGGUGAGCGCUAGGCGCUAGGUGGUGAGCGCUAGGCGCUUGGUGGUGAGCGCUAGGCGCUAGGUGGUGAGCGCUAGGUGGAGAGCGCUAGCGGAAGAUCGGAGGGAGGGAGCAGCAGCUCUUCUAACGGUGAAUGAAACAACGAUCCACCUCCCAGGCUCCUCUGCUCUGCAAGCAGAGAGGACAUCGGGCCAGCUGAGUCCUCCAGGCUCCCGCAAAUAACAAGCAGUAAAUAAUUCAACAGAGCACACACACACACACACACACGCACACGCACGCGCACACACACACGCACACACACACACACGCACACGCACACACACACACUGGAGGAGAGAGAGAGAGAGAGAGUGGCGAGGGGAAGAAAUACAACAACAAAACAAAUAUGAGAUGAGCUCAGAGUGUUCAAAGAGCCGCGCAGUGUCAACACCCAAUCAUAUCCUGGCGGGGUAGUGAGCAGAGAGCAGAGAGAAUGGUGAUCCCUCCCUCCACCUCUAAUGAUGCAUGGAGAAGACUGGGGGGUGUGGUGGUGGGGGGGGGGUAUGUACAACCCUCAUCACUCAAAUUCAAACAUAAUUAAUCUAUGAGCAUUAACAAUCAGAUGACUGCAGGGUAUAGGAGAAGUAUAGCAGGUUUACACAACUACUGCUGUCCAGGUUUACACAACUACUGCUGUCCAGGUUUACACAACUACUGCUGUCCAGGUUUACACAACUACUGUUGUCCAGGUUUACACUACUACUGCUGUCCACUUUACACAACUACUGCUGUCCAGGUUUACACUACUACUGCUGUCCAGGUUUACACUACUACUGCUGUCCAGGUUUACACUGCUACUGCUAUCCAGGUUUACACUACUACUGCUGUCCAGGUUUACACUACUACUGCUGUCCAGGUUUACAC